Molecule: ribosomal RNA, 408 nt
Filed under: uncultured Bacteroidota bacterium
Lineage: Bacteria; Pseudomonadati; Bacteroidota
Description: bacterial SSU rRNA
Rfam family: Bacterial small subunit ribosomal RNA
Source: RNAcentral
UGCCAGCCGCCGCGGUAAUACGGAGGAUGCAAGCGUUAUCCGGAUUUAUUAGGUUUAAAGGGUGCGUAGGCGGAGAAUUAAGUCAGUGGUGAAAUCUUGUAGCUUAACUACAAAACCGCCAUUGAUACUGGUUUUCUUGAGUAUAGUUGAGGUAGGCGGAAUGUGUAGUGUAGCGGUGAAAUGCAUAGAUAUUACACAGAACACCAAUUGCGAAGGCAGCUUACUAAACUAUAACUGACGCUGAUGCACGAAAGCGUGGGUAGCGAACAGGAUUAGAUACCCUGGUAGUCCACGCCGUAAACGAUGAUUACUCGUUGCAUGCGAUACAUUGUAUGUGACUUAGCGAAAGCAUUAAGUAAUCCACCUGGGGAGUACGUUGGCAACAAUGAAACUCAAAGGAAUUGACGG